RNAcentral lists this ribosomal RNA (398 nucleotides) under uncultured bacterium. RNAcentral's name for it is "partial 16S ribosomal RNA". It matches the Rfam family "Bacterial small subunit ribosomal RNA", at positions 523 to 918 of the family's 1533-position model. The record is from RNAcentral.
AUACGUAGGGUGCGAGCGUUGUCCGGAAUUACUGGGCGUAAAGAGCUCGUAGGUGGUUUGUCGCGUCGUCUGUGAAAUUCCGGGGCUUAACUCCGGGCGUGCAGGCGAUACGGGCAUAACUUGAGUACCGUAGGGGAGACUGGAAUUCCUGGUGUAGCGGUGAAAUGCGCAGAUAUCAGGAGGAACACCGGUGGCGAAGGCGGGUCUCUGGGCAGUAACUGACGCUGAGGAGCGAAAGCAUGGGUAGCGAACAGGAUUAGAUACCCUGGUAGUCCAUGCCGUAAACGGUGGGCGCUAGGUGUAGGGGUCUUCCACGACUUCUGUGCCGUAGCUAACGCAUUAAGCGCCCCGCCUGGGGAGUACGGCCGCAAGGCUAAAACUCAAAGGAAUUGACGGGG